UACGGAGGGUGCGAGCGUUAAUCGGAAUGACUGGGCGUAAAGGGCGCGUAGGCGGUUAGUGAAGUCAUGUGCGAAAGACAUGGGCUUAACCUGUGGGUUGACGGAUGAAACUGACUAACUAGAGAGCAGGAGAGGUAAGCGGAAUUUCCGGAGUAGCGGUGAAAUGCGUAGAGUUCGGAAGGAACGCUAGUGGCGAAGGCUGCUUACUGGACUGUGUCAGACGCUGAGGCGCGAAAGCGUGGGUAGCAAACAGG
This 254-nucleotide unclassified non-coding RNA is filed under the name uncultured Gammaproteobacteria bacterium. RNAcentral describes it as "contains 16S-23S intergenic spacer region". It matches the Rfam family "Bacterial small subunit ribosomal RNA", at positions 524 to 776 of the family's 1533-position model. The record is from RNAcentral. Lineage: Bacteria; Pseudomonadati; Pseudomonadota; Gammaproteobacteria.